RNAcentral lists this ribosomal RNA (923 nucleotides) under uncultured marine bacterium. RNAcentral's name for it is "bacterial SSU rRNA". It matches the Rfam family "Bacterial small subunit ribosomal RNA", at positions 56 to 1025 of the family's 1533-position model. The record is from RNAcentral.
UGCAAGUCGAACGAAGUAGCAAUACUUAGUGGCAGACGGGUGAGUAACAUGUGGGUAUCUGCCCUUUGGCCUGGAAUAACACGAGGAAACUUGUGCUAAUACCGGAUAAGUCUUUACGGAGAAAGCUUUAUGCACCAUUGGAUGAGCCUGCACUUGAUUAGUUUGUUGGUGGGGUAAUGGCCUACCAAGACUGUGAUCAAUAGCUGAUUUGAGAGGAUGAUCAGCCACAUUGGGACUGAGACACGGCCCAAACUCCUACGGGAGGCAGCAGUGGGGAAUCUUGCACAAUGGAGGAAACUCUGAUGCAGCGAUGCCGCGUGAGUGAAGAAGGCCUUUGGGUUGUAAAGCUCUUUCGUCGGGGAAGAAAAUGACUGUACCCGAAUAAGAAGGUCCGGCUAACUUCGUGCCAGCAGCCGCGGUAAUACGAAGGGACCUAGCGUAGUUCGGAAUUACUGGGCUUAAAGAGUUCGUAGGUGGUUGAAAAAGUUGGUGGUGAAAUCCCAGAGCUUAACUCUGGAACUGCCAUCAAAACUUUUCAGCUAGAGUUUGAUAGAGGAAAGCAGAAUUUCUAGUGUAGAGGUGAAAUUCGUAGAUAUUAGAAAGAAUACCAAUUGCGAAGGCAGCUUUCUGGAUCAUCACUGACACUGAGGAACGAAAGCAUGGGUAGCGAAGAGGAUUAGAUACCCUCGUAGUCCAUGCCGUAAACGAUGUGUGUUAGACGUUGGAAAUUUAUUUUCAGUGUCGCAGCGAAAGCGAUAAACACACCGCCUGGGGAGUACGACCGCAAGGUUAAAACUCAAAUGAAUUGACGGGGACCCGCACAAGUAGUGGAGCAUGUGGUUUAAUUCGAAGAUACGCGCAGAACCUUACCAACACUUGACAUGUUCGUCGCGACUUUAAGAGAUUAAAGUUUUCGGUUCGGC